This 243-nucleotide long non-coding RNA is filed under the name Dermacentor andersoni. RNAcentral's name for it is "uncharacterized LOC126529330". The record is from RNAcentral. Lineage: Eukaryota; Metazoa; Arthropoda; Arachnida; Ixodida; Ixodidae.
CGUGCGGCACGAAAUCGACAAACAUUUGGCAAUUGUGCCAGUGACAGACAUAAAGAACUUCAAGCCUGACGACGACUUUUCGGCGGCUUUUUAUAUGGUUAAGUGGACGGACGCGGCCGGCACGUGUGCCCACUACCUUGCCAGAAUUUUGCAGAUCGGAGGUUGUGGCGCGACUAGACCGGAAAGGGACCAUGAACAGUAUCCCGCAUUGCAUUUUUCUUAGUAAUAAAGCUUUAAAUCCUA